AGGGCUGUAAAUACGUGUUGCUAACACGCUACC
RNAcentral lists this transfer RNA (33 nucleotides) under Leposoma sp. RNAcentral describes it as "partial tRNA-Ser". Lineage: Eukaryota; Metazoa; Chordata; Lepidosauria; Squamata; Gymnophthalmidae. The record is from RNAcentral.